CGCCGCGCUAGAGGCCAGGCGGGCCAGAGGCAGCCGCGUUUCCCCGAGCUCCCCGCAAAUGGAGGUGAACACCGACGACAUGGAGUCGUUGUCCGAUGAUUCCGGUUGGUCGUCAUCGGACGAUUCAGACAUUGAGGAGUUGCUAUGGUGUCCAAGAAGGACAUGGAUGAAGACCAAUUGAUAUGGUGGAAGGAAGAUGAUGAUUGUGUGAUAUAAACUAUUAAACCAUGCAUCAAUGAUCUUCAUUUCCGUGUUUGUUUGAAGGUUGAUUGUGUUUUUCUAGUGAAAAUUGUGAUAUGUCAAAUGACAGUUUUAAGGGUUGGGGUUGGGGCAAAGACUAGAACCCUCAAACCC
This is a long non-coding RNA of Triticum aestivum (bread wheat), 354 nucleotides long. RefSeq lists it as uncharacterized. Lineage: Eukaryota; Viridiplantae; Streptophyta; Magnoliopsida; Poales; Poaceae. The record is from RefSeq and is a predicted model, not a curated record. The transcript has 2 exons.